CUCCUUGCAUUAUUCAAGCCUAUGUUUCAUAUACCCCAAAAAUGUAACAGAAUGUAUCAUUGGGCCUUGUGCCUAUAAACUAUAUACAACUUUCAGCAACGGAUCUCUUGGCUCUCGCAUCGAUGAAGAACGCAGCGAAAUGCGAUAAGUAAUGUGAAUUGCAGAAUUCAGUGAAUCAUCGAAUCUUUGAACGCACCUUGCGCUCCUUGGUAUUCCGAGGAGCAUGCCUGUUUGAGUGUCAUUAAAUUCUCAACCUUACCAGUUUUCACAAGUUGGUAAUGGCUUGGACUUGGGGGUUUUUUGCUGGCUUCGUCAAGAGGUCUGCUCCCCUUAAAUGUAUUAGCCGGUACCCGUGUGGAGUCGUCUAUUGGUGUGAUAAUUAUCUACGCCGUGGGCCUUCACUUUAAAUGGAUUGUACUGCUUCUAACCGUCCGUUAAGUCGGACAAAUAAUGACAAUUUGACCUCAAAUCAGGUAGGACUACCCGCUGAACUUAA
RNAcentral lists this ribosomal RNA (496 nucleotides) under uncultured fungus. RNAcentral describes it as "eukaryotic LSU rRNA". The stretch from base 88 to 241 matches the Rfam family "5.8S ribosomal RNA". The record is from RNAcentral. Lineage: Eukaryota; Fungi.